Molecule: small RNA, 136 nt
Filed under: [Enterobacter] lignolyticus SCF1
Lineage: Bacteria; Pseudomonadati; Pseudomonadota; Gammaproteobacteria; Enterobacterales; Enterobacteriaceae
Description: Enterobacter cloacae SCF1 Enterobacteria sRNA STnc130
Rfam family: Enterobacteria sRNA STnc130
Source: Rfam by way of RNAcentral
UAUAACGGAAUCACUUUUUUUUAGUCGUUUGUGCUACAUGCUAUUCGAAGGGAGUAUUACCACUUUCAACAUUGUGGUUAUUGUUCAACGUCAAUGUGGGCAUAAAAAAAGCGCCCGGAGGCGCUUUUUAUGACGU